RNAcentral lists this ribosomal RNA (493 nucleotides) under uncultured bacterium. RNAcentral's name for it is "partial 16S ribosomal RNA". It matches the Rfam family "Bacterial small subunit ribosomal RNA", at positions 30 to 523 of the family's 1533-position model. The record is from RNAcentral.
AUUGAACGCUGGCGGCAUGCUUUACACAUGCAAGUCGAACGGUAACAGGUUAAGCUGACGAGUGGCGAACGGGUGAGUAGUGCAUCGGAACGUGCCCGAUCGUGGGGGAUAACACUUCGAAAGAAGUGCUAAUACCGCAUACGAUCUGAGGAUGAAAGCGGGGGACCGUAAGGCCUCGCGCGAUCGGAGCGGCCGAUGUCAGAUUAGGUAGUUGGUGGGGUAAAGGCUCACCAAGCCGACGAUCUGUAGCUGGUCUGAGAGGACGACCAGCCACACUGGGACUGAGACACGGCCCAGACUCCUACGGGAGGCAGCAGUGGGGAAUUUUGGACAAUGGGCGCAAGCCUGAUCCAGCAAUGCCGCGUGCAGGAAGAAGGCCUUCGGGUUGUAAACUGCUUUUGUACGGAGCGAAAAGCCUCCCUCUAAUACAGGGGGCUCAUGACGGUACCGUAAGAAUAAGCACCGGCUAACUACGUGCCAGCCGCCGCAGUAA